Molecule: long non-coding RNA, 270 nt
Filed under: Lathyrus oleraceus (garden pea)
Lineage: Eukaryota; Viridiplantae; Streptophyta; Magnoliopsida; Fabales; Fabaceae
Description: Pisum sativum (pea) long non-coding RNA (PSAT_LNC019868)
Source: RNAcentral
ACAUUAUCCUUUGAGACCAUUUCAAAUUCUGCUCGUUCUUCAAAACUGAUUGAGGAAGGUGCGAAAUAAACCACCUAGACAACAAAGGUAUGCAGCACAUGAGAGUCCCUUGCUUCUUCAUGGUACGAGUGUGGAGGGAAUGCAAAAUGUCUCCCAGCAAGGUAGGUACAGGAUUGUGAGUGAGAAAUAUCUUAAUAGCAUUCAUGUCUAUGAAUUGGUUUGGAUUAGGGAAUAACACCAAGCCAUAGAUUAGCAACGCCAGGAUGUCUU